CAAGUCGAGCGAACAGACGAGGAGCUUGCUCCUCUGACGUUAGCGGCGGACGGGUGAGUAACACGUGGAUAACCUACCUAUAAGACUGGGAUAACUUCGGGAAACCGGAGCUAAUACCGGAUAAUAUAUUGAACCGCAUGGUUCAUAGUGAAAGACGGUU
RNAcentral lists this ribosomal RNA (160 nucleotides) under Staphylococcus epidermidis. RNAcentral's name for it is "partial 16S ribosomal RNA". It matches the Rfam family "Bacterial small subunit ribosomal RNA", at positions 58 to 212 of the family's 1533-position model. The record is from RNAcentral. Lineage: Bacteria; Bacillati; Bacillota; Bacilli; Caryophanales; Staphylococcaceae.